Molecule: ribosomal RNA, 397 nt
Filed under: uncultured bacterium
Lineage: Bacteria
Description: partial 16S ribosomal RNA
Rfam family: Bacterial small subunit ribosomal RNA
Source: RNAcentral
AUACGUAGGUGGCAAGCGUUGUCCGGAAUUAUUGGGCGUAAAGCGCGCGCAGGUGGUUCCUUAAGUCUGAUGUAAAAGCCCCCGGCUAAACCGGGGAGGGUCAUUGGAACCUGGGGAACUGGAGUGCGGAAGAGGAAAGUGGAAUCCCAGGUGUAGCGGGGAAAUGCGUAGAGAUUUGGAGGAACACCAGUGGCGAAGGCGACUGUCUGGUCUGUAACUGACACUGAGGCGCGAAAGCGUGGGGAGCAAACAGGAUUAGAUACCCUGGUAGUCCACGCCGUAAACGAUGAGUGCUAAGUGUUGGGGGGUUUCCGCCCCUCAGUGCUGCAGCUAACGCAUUAAGCACUCCGCCUGGGGAGUACGGUCGCAAGACUGAAACUCAAAUGAAUUGACGGGG